RNAcentral lists this ribosomal RNA (1695 nucleotides) under Staphylococcus aureus. Its description in RNAcentral is "partial 23S ribosomal RNA". It matches the Rfam family "Bacterial large subunit ribosomal RNA", at positions 1139 to 2837 of the family's 2925-position model. The record is from RNAcentral. Lineage: Bacteria; Bacillati; Bacillota; Bacilli; Caryophanales; Staphylococcaceae.
AGCUCACUAGUCGAGUGACACUGCGCCGAAAAUGUACCGGGGCUAAACAUAUUACCGAAGCUGUGGAUUGUCCUUUGGACAAUGGUAGGAGAGCGUUCUAAGGGCGUUGAAGCAUGAUCGUAAGGACAUGUGGAGCGCUUAGAAGUGAGAAUGCCGGUGUGAGUAGCGAAAGACGGGUGAGAAUCCCGUCCACCGAUUGACUAAGGUUUCCAGAGGAAGGCUCGUCCGCUCUGGGUUAGUCGGGUCCUAAGCUGAGGCCGACAGGCGUAGGCGAUGGAUAACAGGUUGAUAUUCCUGUACCACCUAUAAUCGUUUUAAUCGAUGGGGGGACGCAGUAGGAUAGGCGAAGCGUGCGAUUGGAUUGCACGUCUAAGCAGUAAGGCUGAGUAUUAGGCAAAUCCGGUACUCAUUAAGGCUGAGCUGUGAUGGGGAGAAGACAUUGUGUCUUCGAGUCGUUGAUUUCACACUGCCGAGAAAAGCCUCUAGAUAGAAAAUAGGUGCCCGUACCGCAAACCGACACAGGUAGUCAAGAUGAGAAUUCUAAGGUGAGCGAGCGAACUCUCGUUAAGGAACUCGGCAAAAUGACCCCGUAACUUCGGGAGAAGGGGUGCUCUUUAGGGUUAACGCCCAGAAGAGCCGCAGUGAAUAGGCCCAAGCGACUGUUUAUCAAAAACACAGGUCUCUGCUAAACCGUAAGGUGAUGUAUAGGGGCUGACGCCUGCCCGGUGCUGGAAGGUUAAGAGGAGUGGUUAGCUUCUGCGAAGCUACGAAUCGAAGCCCCAGUAAACGGCGGCCGUAACUAUAACGGUCCUAAGGUAGCGAAAUUCCUUGUCGGGUAAGUUCCGACCCGCACGAAAGGCGUAACGAUUUGGGCACUGUCUCAACGAGAGACUCGGUGAAAUCAUAGUACCUGUGAAGAUGCAGGUUACCCGCGACAGGACGGAAAGACCCCGUGGAGCUUUACUGUAGCCUGAUAUUGAAAUUCGGCACAGCUUGUACAGGAUAGGUAGGAGCCUUUGAAACGUGAGCGCUAGCUUACGUGGAGGCGCUGGUGGGAUACUACCCUAGCUGUGUUGGCUUUCUAACCCGCACCACUUAUCGUGGUGGGAGACAGUGUCAGGCGGGCAGUUUGACUGGGGCGGUCGCCUCCUAAAAGGUAACGGAGGCGCUCAAAGGUUCCCUCAGAAUGGUUGGAAAUCAUUCAUAGAGUGUAAAGGCAUAAGGGAGCUUGACUGCGAGACCUACAAGUCGAGCAGGGUCGAAAGACGGACUUAGUGAUCCGGUGGUUCCGCAUGGAAGGGCCAUCGCUCAACGGAUAAAAGCUACCCCGGGGAUAACAGGCUUAUCUCCCCCAAGAGUUCACAUCGACGGGGAGGUUUGGCACCUCGAUGUCGGCUCAUCGCAUCCUGGGGCUGUAGUCGGUCCCAAGGGUUGGGCUGUUCGCCCAUUAAAGCGGUACGCGAGCUGGGUUCAGAACGUCGUGAGACAGUUCGGUCCCUAUCCGUCGUGGGCGUAGGAAAUUUGAGAGGAGCUGUCCUUAGUACGAGAGGACCGGGAUGGACAUACCUCUGGUGUACCAGUUGUCGUGCCAACGGCAUAGCUGGGUAGCUAUGUGUGGACGGGAUAAGUGCUGAAAGCAUCUAAGCAUGAAGCCCCCCUCAAGAUGAGAUUUCCCAACUUCGGUUAUAAGAUCCC